This 519-nucleotide ribosomal RNA is filed under the name uncultured fungus. Its description in RNAcentral is "eukaryotic LSU rRNA". The stretch from base 191 to 340 matches the Rfam family "5.8S ribosomal RNA". Lineage: Eukaryota; Fungi. The record is from RNAcentral.
CUUGGUCAUUUAGAGGAAGUAAAAGUCGUAACAAGGUCUCCGUAGGUGAACCUGCGGAGGGAUCAUUAAAGAAUGGUUAUUCUUGACCUUCUACCCACCCACCACUGUGGACAUGAGACGUGCUUCGGCGCCGAGAGGCGUCGCCUUUAUGCAUCGAGUCUUCACUUAGUCUGUUUAAAACAAAUGUCAAAACUUUCAACAAAGGAUCUCUUGGCUCUCGCAUCGAUGAAGAACGUAGCAAAGCGCGAAAUGUGGUGUGAAUUGCAGAACAUUGUGAAUCAUCGAAUCUUUGAACGCACAUUGCACCUCCCGUAGGGGAGGUAUGCCUGUCUGAGCGUCGUUAGCCGAUAAAUCUCUGGAUUUGUGUUGGGCUCCACAUCCGUGUGUUGCCUCGAAGCCAUGGUCUAACCUGCGGACGAGCUCCUUUCGGACCUGCCGUGGCGAUGACUCGAUAUCUGAAUUUGACCUCAGAUCAGGUAGGAAGACCGCCUGAACUUAAGCAUAUCAAUAAGCGGAGGA